UCCAUGAAGCCCAGUCCGUGCCAAGCUCGAAGUUUUUCAGAGGCUGCUCAGUUGUGAUUAGUGCUCGUUGUCGCUGAAGUUGCCAGCUCCGAGCAUCUUCGUUAGAUUUCAUGAAGUGGAGUCUGAGGGAGAGUUCGCUUGUUGAUGAAUUUGUCAGCUGAGCUAUGGCAGAACAUCACACCCAUGUCGAUGCAAGGAGGUUUUUUUUUGCUUCAAUGGGCUUACUGGGUCCUUCACUGUUGUCGAGUUUUUAGGUUUGUCACCGAUAUUGAGUUGCUUCAUGAGGAAUGGAUUUGUGGGGGGGGCAAGCUUCUGUAUAUGGAAGCCAUGAACUUGUCGUUGUAAUCCGUAAACCCCAAAUCUGUAGAAGACGAGGUGAGGAAGUAAUCAAGAGAGGGGGAUGUGGCAGUGUGGGAUGAACAGGCUUCCGCUUUCCAAUGGAGUCUUGUUCACUUGUCACGGAUUUCUUGACUGGAUGCAUUCUUGGAACGCCGUCCAGGUUGUACAAAAGAGGUUUUAGACGAAUAUUGGAGAGUGGACAUGGGUAGACCCUAUCUGGGUUGUAGUUCACGCUUUGAUCAACAAACACUCGAAAAAUAGAAUGCAGGAGACGCCGAAUUGUUUUAAAAGGUAUGGCGCAUUAUUUUACCAGGCUUCUCCAUCAGGAGCCCUUAGGUGACAUGACUUUGGAGAUUAAACUUCCUUUGCUCGUUCAUUGAUUAAGUUAUGCUGAGCAGGUUGUUUUGCUUUCAAUUGUGCAAUUUACUAUGAUUAAAAACGGUUUGUUUCGAGUCAUCGCUCUGGAACGUACAUGUUGCUUUGUUUGUUGCCGGCGCUUGAACGAUUUGAAGCAGAUUUUGAGCAGGCACAGAGUAUUUUCACUGGAAAAGAACCAGGAAACAAGUGAAAGCAACAUUCAAGCACGAAGUGUAGGUGAAUUAGAUACGCCCAGCUGAUGGUCUUGGCCACAAAACAUAAGGUCUCUGAUGAUACUCAAAUCUUACAAGGUGUCACUGUGUUUUUUGGAAGUACAGUCAUGUAGUACAUAAUGCUACUAGUCAUGUAGCUGGGCCCUUGCAAUCUCAACACUAUCGAGACAUCAUUGAAAGCACAAAAGGAUGAUGAUGAAGAAAAUAGGUUGGCACUCUAUUAGUAAAUGCUGAAAAAGAUGAAAUAACCAACAAUCAGAGGGUUGGAACACAAGUCGUAACCGAGAACUUCUACGAACUAUGAACUCCAUGUGAACACGAUUGUUUUUGAUCAGGUGGACAUAGCGGGAGAACUGAAUCUGCAUCUAGAACCGUUGUUUCUAUUCGUCAGUCGAGAGAAUCAUCAUCAGUCAAUUGACGGUUAAAUUGCCUCGGGAAGUAUUGAAUGGGUAGUGCCGAUGAACAACGACCAGGUCUGAAGUGUGAAGUUUGGCUGUCUCAAACAAGUUUUCUGUGGGGCAAACAGUUUGAAAGAAAAAUUGUCUUGUAAUUGCGCAUUCGAGGGGCUUAUCCGUGAUCAGUGACAGUGAGCUUCAAGGGCUUCAUCAAAGGUGGCUAGGCUCUGAGAUGGACUAGUUGGAGAGGAGGAUGUCAAAAACUCCAUAUUUCAUUCUUAUCAUGUCAAAGCUUCACCAUCGCCUUCAGCAAUCUCUUAAUUAGCAAUUCGAAGAUAUCUCUUUCUCACUAAGAUGCGGGUGUGUAUCAAUAGGUCAACUAGUCUGAUCAAACCAUUCUAUGCUUCAUGACCAAGAAUCUCAGAUAAUUUUGUUCAA
Non-coding RNA from Physcomitrium patens, 1762 nucleotides. The record is from RefSeq and is a predicted model, not a curated record. Lineage: Eukaryota; Viridiplantae; Streptophyta; Bryopsida; Funariales; Funariaceae.